This 463-nucleotide ribosomal RNA is filed under the name uncultured Syntrophus sp. RNAcentral describes it as "bacterial SSU rRNA". It matches the Rfam family "Bacterial small subunit ribosomal RNA", at positions 920 to 1382 of the family's 1533-position model. Lineage: Bacteria; Pseudomonadati; Thermodesulfobacteriota; Syntrophia; Syntrophales; Syntrophaceae. The record is from RNAcentral.
CCCGCACAAGCGGUGGAGCAUGUGGUUUAAUUCGAUGCAACGCGAAGAACCUUACCUGGGCUUGACAUCCCGAGAAUCCCCUGGAAACAGGGGAGUGCCUUUCGGGGAACUCGGAGACAGGUGCUGCAUGGCUGUCGUCAGCUCGUGUCGUGAGAUGUUGGGUUAAGUCCCGCAACGAGCGCAACCCUUGUCUUUAAUUGCCAGCAUUCAGUUGGGCACUUUAAAGAGACUGCCGGUGUUAAGCCGGAGGAAGGUGGGGAUGACGUCAAGUCCUCAUGGCCUUUAUGCCCAGGGCUACACACGUGCUACAAUGGGUGGUACAAAGAGAUGCCAACUCGCGAGAGCGCGCCAAUCUCAGAAAGCCAUCCUCAGUUCGGAUUGGAGUCUGCAACUCGACUCCAUGAAGUUGGAAUCGCUAGUAAUCGCGGAUCAGCACGCCGCGGUGAAUACGUUCCCGGGCCUU